Molecule: ribosomal RNA, 307 nt
Filed under: uncultured bacterium
Lineage: Bacteria
Description: bacterial SSU rRNA
Rfam family: Bacterial small subunit ribosomal RNA
Source: RNAcentral
ACUCAAUAGAUACCCAGGUAGUCCACGCCGUAAACGAUGAUGACUAGCUGUCUGGGCGCUUAGCGUUCAGGUGGCGCAGCUAACGCGUUAAGUCAUCCGCCUGGGGAGUACGGCCGCAAGGUUAAAACUCAAAGAAAUUGACGGGGGCCUGCACAAGCGGUGGAGCAUGUGGUUUAAUUCGAAGCAACGCGCAGAACCUUACCAGCGUUUGACAUGGUAGGACGGUUUCCAGAGAUGGAUUCCUUCCCUUACGGGACCUACGACACAGGUGCUGCGUGGCUGUCGUCAGCUCGUGUCGUGAGAUGUU